This 52-nucleotide transfer RNA is filed under the name Aristida havardii. RNAcentral describes it as "partial tRNA-Leu". The record is from RNAcentral. RNAcentral also lists the same sequence under 2 other names. Lineage: Eukaryota; Viridiplantae; Streptophyta; Magnoliopsida; Poales; Poaceae.
AAAAUCCGUCGACUUUAUAAGUCGUGAGGGUUCAAGUCCCUCUAUCCCCAAA